Molecule: ribosomal RNA, 431 nt
Filed under: Metagonia sp. Br16-125
Lineage: Eukaryota; Metazoa; Arthropoda; Arachnida; Araneae; Pholcidae
Description: partial 16S ribosomal RNA
Rfam family: Bacterial large subunit ribosomal RNA
Source: RNAcentral
UUCUUUAAGAAAUUAAUUUAAAGUAUAUCCUGCUCAAUGUAAUAAAUAAAUAGCCGCAGUCAACUGUGCUAAGGUAGCAUAAUCACUUGCUUCAUAAUUGGAAGAUAGUAUGAAAGGACAUACGACCUAGGACUAUUUCAAAAUUCUAAAUUAAAUUACCAUACAAGUAAAAAGACUUGAAUAGAAAAAUAAGACGACAAGACCCCAUCAAACUUAUCAUUUAGUUGGGGUAACUUAAUAAAAAAACCUUAUAAUAACACUUAACAUAUCCUAAUAAAAGAUAAAGUUUAGUUACUGUGGGGAUAACAGCGCCAUUUUUCUUAAGAGCUCCCAUCCAAAGAAAAGAUUACGACCUCGAUGUUGAAUUAACUAUCCUAAAUAUCAUGGCGCAAAAGCCAUUAUAAGAAGGUCUGUUCGACCUGUAAAAAGUU